GCUCGUUUAAAAUCCAUGUGCUCGCUUGCUGUGAGGACCCAUAUUCAAAUCCCAUGAAGCCCCAGUUCACACCCACUUACCUGAACCACAUUAUUUCAUUUAAUUCCUUGGGUUCCACCACUUUUAACUCUCAUACCUUCUUUUUUUUAUUCAUUGAAUCCCUGAUAGGCAGACACCUUUGAAUUAUUGCACGUCAUAUACC
RNAcentral lists this long non-coding RNA (202 nucleotides) under Elaeis guineensis (African oil palm). RNAcentral's name for it is "long non-coding RNA (EGUI_LNC043287)". The record is from RNAcentral. Lineage: Eukaryota; Viridiplantae; Streptophyta; Magnoliopsida; Arecales; Arecaceae.